Molecule: long non-coding RNA, 1941 nt
Filed under: Pan troglodytes (chimpanzee)
Lineage: Eukaryota; Metazoa; Chordata; Mammalia; Primates; Hominidae
Description: lncRNA (ENSPTRG00000053280.1)
Source: RNAcentral
GUGAAAGGAGGCCUUUGCAAAAUAGAAAAAGUACUUUCAUUCCAGAGAGAGCCCUAGGAAUAAAAAAAAAGAGGAAUCUGCAAAGAAAAGCAGUAGGGGAGAGAGCUAAUACCACUAGUUUCAUUCUCAUAAGGGAAAGAGAGACAUUUUAGAAAAGAUCUAUUGUGUGAACUUGAAAACAAGAUGUAGGGUCAGAAAUGCUGUGGUGGCAGGUCCGUGGAGGAAGUAGCCAUCAAAUAAUAGCCUUGAUUGCAAGCCAGUGUUAAUUAGGCUUGUGGGGCCCUCAAUGAGCAAAGAAGAUUGAGCUCUAACCAUCAGUUCCCCACAUGAAGGUUUAUUGUAAUAUGAAAAAGUUAUUUAAAUUUCACUUCACGUUGUCCUUUUGAAUCCUCGCAUUAAUAAAAUCGUUUUCAGUGGAAAUAGCAGCAGCAAGAAAUAGAAAAUACUAACAGCAAGAUUUUUUUUUUUAAUGCCCAUAAGAAGCAGCUUGGAAAUUGACACUCGGUUGCCAGGCACGUUUUACAGCUUUGCUCUUUACCAUGGACCAGAGAUAAUUUUCCUUAUGGAGAAUUUACAAGUUUCCAGAUGCAUUAUGCUGAAGAUAGCCAGGAUCCAGUACAAGGUUGGUGUCCCACUACAAAGCAAGGGCCUGCCACAACCAGAUGCAUGUUUCAACGACAUCGAAAGACUCACCUUGGACUCAUUGCUGACUUGUCAACCAGAACUCCAAUAUCUGAGUUUGUCAAGCAUUAGCAAAUGUCAUUUGGAGAAAAGAAAGGCAUGGGAUUUUAAAAAUAAUUGGAAAUCAGAAGAAUAAAACAAGGAAACAGAAAUAAGGAAGAGGAAGAAGAGGAGAAAGAGAAGAAGAGGAAAAAAAGAUACGAAUUAAAGGUUUGUGAAAACAAAUGCCUAGGAAAGUUAAUUCUAGACAACCAAGCAGGUACAUCUCAAUGAGAGGGAGAGACUUGAAGAGGCAGCAAAGGUUAAAUGGACUAGAAGAAUUUCCUGGCACAAGUUUUGGGUUAUGAGAUGCUCUAUCUCUGGAUAUCAAUUUGGAUCCUUACAAUAUUAUUUUCAGAGCUACUUCACCAUGUUUUCACCUGUGGUUUUCAUGAAAUUUUGUGCUGACAUAUGGACUUAGUGAUCCAGAAAGUUGCCUGUGCCAUGGGAACUCUCAAAGGUCAUGUACAAGCACCAAGCAAACUGCGGGUGGGAUUGGGUAGAGGUGCUAAUGAACUGAGCUGACUUUCUGUGUUUUUUAGUAUAAUAAUGGUGGCUGUUCACCCCAGCAGAAAGUAACAGGAACUCUUAGCAUGCUGAAUUUAAUUCUAGAAUCUCAGGUGGUAAAAAGAAGAGGUCACAUAAUUAACUCUCAGUUAAUGGAAGAAGAACAGUGUCAUGAAUCAAAGAUUAUUUAAAAAUUGCUUAUAAAAAUGGGACUUUGGAAUGCACUCUUUGACUUCUUUGGCAGAGGAUUUACAUCUUAUUUGCUUUGCUUAAGCUAAUAGUAAAAUUAGUUUGUAGUCCUUCUCCAUUUGGAAGAUAUUUGGCAGCAGUUGGAUGAAAGGAGAGUAGGAGAAAAGGAAAGACAAGUAUAUGGGGAGAGAGAAGGAGUGGAGAAACAUGUUGGCUGGCUGGAAAGUCAGGCCAGGGUAAAAGCUUGCCACGUGUAACCUGUAUGGUGUAAACUCAUACAUGCACAAUGAAAAAUUAUAUAAUUAAAGGCACCAAGCCUGAUGGAAUCAGCAUUCAAUAAAUAUUUGUUGAAUGAAUAAAAAGAUUUUUUCUUUGCAUUUGAAGGAAGGAUUUCUUAUCUUAUUGGAAAUCUGCAAAUGGUUUCUUCAGCAUUUUUAUUGGAUGCUGUCUUGGGAAGAAGGCACAGAGAUCCUCUUCCCAUGCUUUUUAUCUCCCUCUCAUUACUCUUCAGAUUGACCCUGAAAU